Molecule: long non-coding RNA, 760 nt
Filed under: Mus spicilegus (steppe mouse)
Lineage: Eukaryota; Metazoa; Chordata; Mammalia; Rodentia; Muridae
Description: lncRNA (ENSMSIG00000021436.1)
Source: RNAcentral
ACAUAGUAAAAAAAAAAAAAAAGGCUUUAUAAAAUGCAAGGGGUUGGGAAAUGGGCCACAGGACUCAGCACGACAGAUGGACUUUUUAGAGUGAAAUUGAGCCGAAAGUCAGAGUUCCUGUAGACCUCUGCCGUACUCAUCAAUAUCCCCUACCAAAAUCUAUAAAAAUUGAUGAGUCCACAUGGACUCAUUAGCACGCAAAGUCCCUAGUUAGGAUCCUCUGGCUACAUUCCUUAGACAAUGAGCCUGGCCGGUCUUUGUAUGUUGAUUGUGACACUUAGGGUCCUUAGAACCCUGUGUGAUGGGCACUAUCAUCUCUGACAGACAGGGGAACAGGAAUUCCAAGCCAUUUGCUGAUUGAGAAGUAGAAAAGGCCAGAUGGGGACGUCAAGGACAGUCUGACCAGAAGCCUUUACCCAGGAUGCUGAGCUUGGAGAGGUACUCAGAGACAUCCUACAUCAGUGCCCUAAACAUCACACUAGCAACAUUAUCACUUCAUCCCCACUGAGGAAGGAACGUGGGUACAUUCAGGGGGAGACUGCCCAGUGACCUUAGCUGACAUCUUUCAAUACAGAAAUGGUUUUGUUGGUAAGUAUGCACAUACUUAUCUUAUCAUUCCUUAUACAGAGCUAGGAUACAACUCAACUAUCUAUCCAUAUACAUUUAUGUAAUACAUAUACACAUAUAUUUACACGAGAAAAACGAAAAUAUUGUCUUUGGACUAUCCAAAAAAGAGAGAGAGAAAACAAUCUGCUUAAAG